UACGUAGGGUGCGAGCGUUGUCCGGAAUUAUUGGGCGUAAAGAGCUCGUAGGCGGUUUGUCGCGUCGGCUGUGAAAACCCGAGGCUUAACCUCGGGCCUGCAGUCGAUACGGGCAGACUAGAGUUCGGUAGGGGAGACUGGAAUUCCUGGUGUAGCGGUGAAAUGCGCAGAUAUCAGGAGGAACACCGGUGGCGAAGGCGGGUCUCUGGGCCGAUACUGACGCUGAGGAGCGAAAGCGUGGGGAGCGAACAGG
RNAcentral lists this ribosomal RNA (253 nucleotides) under uncultured bacterium. Its description in RNAcentral is "partial 16S ribosomal RNA". It matches the Rfam family "Bacterial small subunit ribosomal RNA", at positions 524 to 776 of the family's 1533-position model. The record is from RNAcentral.